UGAUUCCGUGGGAUACCGAUCGUAAGC
RNAcentral lists this small RNA (27 nucleotides) under Bombyx mori (domestic silkworm). RNAcentral describes it as "ovarian small RNA-33057". Lineage: Eukaryota; Metazoa; Arthropoda; Insecta; Lepidoptera; Bombycidae. The record is from RNAcentral.